AGCUUUGGAAUAAAAAGUCCACCAAGGAUGGGGUAGUCAAGGAUGAGGAGGAUGAGAAGGAGAAGACCCUUGCCAUGCGUGUGGAGUAGGAGGAGCGUGAAGACUUAAUGCAUCUAGAAGAUGUUUGUUCUUAGAUGUUCCCUAUCCUACUAAGUACUGAUGCUGACAAUAAGAUUACCUAGGCCAUUUUUCGACCACAGAUGCAUUUGAACCAAGCUGAGAUGAGGAG
Molecule: long non-coding RNA, 229 nt
Filed under: Elaeis guineensis (African oil palm)
Lineage: Eukaryota; Viridiplantae; Streptophyta; Magnoliopsida; Arecales; Arecaceae
Description: long non-coding RNA (EGUI_LNC051735)
Source: RNAcentral